Molecule: ribosomal RNA, 510 nt
Filed under: uncultured archaeon
Lineage: Archaea
Description: bacterial SSU rRNA
Rfam family: Archaeal small subunit ribosomal RNA
Source: RNAcentral
CACCGGCGGCUCGAGUGGUAACCGUUAUUAUUGGGUCUAAAGGGUCUGUAGCCGGCCGGAUAAGUCUCUUGAGAAAUCUGGCAGCUUAACUGUCAGGCUUUCAGGAGAUACUGUCUGGCUCGAGGCCGGGAGAGGUGAGAGGUACUUCAGGGGUAGGGGUGAAAUCUUGUAAUCCUUGAAGGACCACCAGUGGCGAAGGCGUCUCACCAGAACGGACCUGACGGCAAGGGACGAAAGCUAGGGGCACGAACCGGAUUAGAUACCCGGGUAGUCCUAGCCGUAAACGAUACUCGCUAGGUGUCGGCCACGGUGCGACCGUUGUCGGUGCCGUAGGGAAGCCGUGAAGCGAGCCACCUGGGAAGUACGGCCGCAAGGCUGAAACUUAAAGGAAUUGGCGGGGGAGCACCACAACGGGUGGAGCUUGCGGUUUAAUUGGAUUCAACGCCGGAAAUCUUACCGGGACCGACAGCAAUAUGAAGGCCAGGCUGAAGACUUUGCCGGAUUAGCUGA